RNAcentral lists this ribosomal RNA (374 nucleotides) under uncultured bacterium. RNAcentral describes it as "bacterial SSU rRNA". It matches the Rfam family "Bacterial small subunit ribosomal RNA", at positions 524 to 898 of the family's 1533-position model. The record is from RNAcentral.
UACAGAAGGUGCAAGCGUUAAUCGGAUUUACUGGGCGUAAAGGGCACGUAGGCGGUAGGAUGUGUGUGAUGUGAAAGCCCCGGGCUUAACCUGGGAAGUGCAUCGCAAACUAUCUAACUAGAGUAGAUGAGAGGGUGGCGGAAUUUCCAGUGUAGCGGUGAAAUGCGUAGAGAUUGGAAGGAACGUCAAUGGCGAAGGCAGCCACCUGGCAUCAUACUGACGCUGAGGUGCGAAAGCGUGGGGAGCGAACAGGAUUAGAUACCCUGGUAGUCCACGCUGUAAACGAUGAGGACUAGAUGUUGGUAGGGGAACCUAUCAGUAUCGAAGCUAACGCGAUAAGUCUUCCGCCUGGGAAGUACGGCCGCAAGGUUGAA